RNAcentral lists this ribosomal RNA (2902 nucleotides) under Klebsiella pneumoniae. RNAcentral's name for it is "23S ribosomal RNA". It matches the Rfam family "Bacterial large subunit ribosomal RNA". RNAcentral also lists the same sequence under 2 other names. The record is from RNAcentral. Lineage: Bacteria; Pseudomonadati; Pseudomonadota; Gammaproteobacteria; Enterobacterales; Enterobacteriaceae.
GGUUAAGCGACUAAGCGUACACGGUGGAUGCCCUGGCAGUCAGAGGCGAUGAAGGACGUGCUAAUCUGCGAAAAGCGUCGGUAAGGUGAUAUGAACCGUUAUAACCGGCGAUGUCCGAAUGGGGAAACCCAGUGCAAUUCGUUGCACUAUCGUUAACUGAAUACAUAGGUUAACGAGGCGAACCGGGGGAACUGAAACAUCUAAGUACCCCGAGGAAAAGAAAUCAACCGAGAUUCCCCCAGUAGCGGCGAGCGAACGGGGAGCAGCCCAGAGUCUGAAUCAGCUUGUGUGUUAGUGGAACGGUCUGGAAAGUCCGACGGUACAGGGUGAUAGUCCCGUACACCAAAAUGCACAGGUUGUGAACUCGAAGAGUAGGGCGGGACACGUGGUAUCCUGUCUGAAUAUGGGGGGACCAUCCUCCAAGGCUAAAUACUCCUGACUGACCGAUAGUGAACCAGUACCGUGAGGGAAAGGCGAAAAGAACCCCGGCGAGGGGAGUGAAAAAGAACCUGAAACCGUGUACGUACAAGCAGUGGGAGCACCUUCGGGUGUGACUGCGUACCUUUUGUAUAAUGGGUCAGCGACUUAUAUUCUGUAGCAAGGUUAACCGUAUAGGGGAGCCGCAGGGAAACCGAGUCUUAACUGGGCGUUAAGUUGCAGGGUAUAGACCCGAAACCCGGUGAUCUAGCCAUGGGCAGGUUGAAGGUUGGGUAACACUAACUGGAGGACCGAACCGACUAAUGUUGAAAAAUUAGCGGAUGACUUGUGGCUGGGGGUGAAAGGCCAAUCAAACCGGGAGAUAGCUGGUUCUCCCCGAAAGCUAUUUAGGUAGCGCCUCGUGAAUUCAUCUUCGGGGGUAGAGCACUGUUUCGGCUAGGGGGUCAUCCCGACUUACCAACCCGAUGCAAACUACGAAUACCGAAGAAUGUUAUCACGGGAGACACACGGCGGGUGCUAACGUCCGUCGUGAAGAGGGAAACAACCCAGACCGCCAGCUAAGGUCCCAAAGUCAUGGUUAAGUGGGAAACGAUGUGGGAAGGCACAGACAGCCAGGAUGUUGGCUUAGAAGCAGCCAUCAUUUAAAGAAAGCGUAAUAGCUCACUGGUCGAGUCGGCCUGCGCGGAAGAUGUAACGGGGCUAAACCAUGCACCGAAGCUGCGGCAGCGACACUAUGUGUUGUUGGGUAGGGGAGCGUUCUGUAAGCCUGCGAAGGUGACCUGUGAGGGUUGCUGGAGGUAUCAGAAGUGCGAAUGCUGACAUAAGUAACGAUAAAGCGGGUGAAAAGCCCGCUCGCCGGAAGACCAAGGGUUCCUGUCCAACGUUAAUCGGGGCAGGGUGAGUCGACCCCUAAGGCGAGGCCGAAAGGCGUAGUCGAUGGGAAACAGGUUAAUAUUCCUGUACUUGGUGUUACUGCGAAGGGGGGACGGAGAAGGCUAUGUUAGCCGGGCGACGGUUGUCCCGGUUUAAGCAUGUAGGCUGGUUAUCCAGGCAAAUCCGGAUAAUCAAGGCUGAGGUGUGAUGACGAGGCACUACGGUGCUGAAGUAACAAAUGCCCUGCUUCCAGGAAAAGCCUCUAAGCAUCAGGUAACAUCAAAUCGUACCCCAAACCGACACAGGUGGUCAGGUAGAGAAUACCAAGGCGCUUGAGAGAACUCGGGUGAAGGAACUAGGCAAAAUGGUGCCGUAACUUCGGGAGAAGGCACGCUGGUGUGUAGGUGAAGUCCCUGCGGAUGGAGCUGAGACCAGUCGAAGAUACCAGCUGGCUGCAACUGUUUAUUAAAAACACAGCACUGUGCAAACACGAAAGUGGACGUAUACGGUGUGACGCCUGCCCGGUGCCGGAAGGUUAAUUGAUGGGGUUAUCCGUAAGGAGAAGCUCUUGAUCGAAGCCCCGGUAAACGGCGGCCGUAACUAUAACGGUCCUAAGGUAGCGAAAUUCCUUGUCGGGUAAGUUCCGACCUGCACGAAUGGCGUAAUGAUGGCCAGGCUGUCUCCACCCGAGACUCAGUGAAAUUGAACUCGCUGUGAAGAUGCAGUGUACCCGCGGCAAGACGGAAAGACCCCGUGAACCUUUACUAUAGCUUGACACUGAACAUUGAGCCUUGAUGUGUAGGAUAGGUGGGAGGCUUUGAAGCGUGGACGCCAGUCUGCGUGGAGCCAACCUUGAAAUACCACCCUUUAAUGUUUGAUGUUCUAACGUUGGCCCCUUACCGGGGUUGCGGACAGUGUCUGGUGGGUAGUUUGACUGGGGCGGUCUCCUCCCAAAGCGUAACGGAGGAGCACGAAGGUUAGCUAAUCCUGGUCGGACAUCAGGAGGUUAGUGCAAUGGCAUAAGCUAGCUUGACUGCGAGCGUGACGGCGCGAGCAGGUGCGAAAGCAGGUCAUAGUGAUCCGGUGGUUCUGAAUGGAAGGGCCAUCGCUCAACGGAUAAAAGGUACUCCGGGGAUAACAGGCUGAUACCGCCCAAGAGUUCAUAUCGACGGCGGUGUUUGGCACCUCGAUGUCGGCUCAUCACAUCCUGGGGCUGAAGUAGGUCCCAAGGGUAUGGCUGUUCGCCAUUUAAAGUGGUACGCGAGCUGGGUUUAGAACGUCGUGAGACAGUUCGGUCCCUAUCUGCCGUGGGCGCUGGAGAAUUGAGGGGGGCUGCUCCUAGUACGAGAGGACCGGAGUGGACGCAUCACUGGUGUUCGGGUUGUCAUGCCAAUGGCACUGCCCGGUAGCUAAAUGCGGAAGAGAUAAGUGCUGAAAGCAUCUAAGCACGAAACUUGCCCCGAGAUGAGUUCUCCCUGAGACUUUAAGUCUCCUGAAGGAACGUUGAAGACGACGACGUUGAUAGGCCGGGUGUGUAAGCGCAGCGAUGCGUUGAGCUAACCGGUACUAAUGAACCGUGAGGCUUAACCUU